Molecule: ribosomal RNA, 238 nt
Filed under: uncultured bacterium
Lineage: Bacteria
Description: partial 16S ribosomal RNA
Rfam family: Bacterial small subunit ribosomal RNA
Source: RNAcentral
AGCGGCGGACGGGUGAGUAACGCGUGGGUAACCUACCUCAUACAGGGGGAUAACUACUGGAAACGGUAGCUAAUACCGCAUAACGUCGCAAGACCAAAGAGGGGGACCUUCGGGCCUCUUGCCAUCGGAUGUGCCCAGAUGGGAUUAGCUAGUAGGUGGGGUAACGGCUCACCUAGGCGACGAUCCCCAGCUGGUCUGAGAGGAUGACCAGCCACACUGGAACUGAGACACGGUCCAG